Non-coding RNA from Ixodes scapularis (black-legged tick), 110 nucleotides. NCBI's taxonomy places the organism in Eukaryota, Metazoa, Arthropoda, Arachnida, Ixodida, Ixodidae. The record is from Rfam.
GAUUUCUGCCCAAUGCUCUGAAUGUCAAUGUGAAGAGAACCAUCAAAGCGCAGGUAAACAGUAGGAGUAACUAUGACUCUCUUGUGAGCGGGCUCAGCGCACGCGUGGAU